GAUAAACGCUGGCGGCGUGCUUAACACAUGCAAGUCGAACGAAGUUUUUCUUUCGGGAGGAACUUAGUGGCGGACGGGUGAGUAACGCGUGGGUAACCUGCCCUGUACAGGGGGACAACAGCUGGAAACGGCUGCUAAUACCGCAUAAGCCCUUCGCACUGCAUGGUGCAUAGGGAAAAGGAGCAAUCCGGUACAGGAUGGACCCGCGUCUGAUUAGCCAGUUGGCAGGGUAACGGCCUACCAAAGCGACGAUCAGUAGCCGAUCUGAGAGGAUGUACGGCCACAUUGGGACUGAGACACGGCCCAGACUCCUACGGGAGGCAGCAGUGGGGAAUAUUGCACAAUGGAGGAAACUCUGAUGCAGCGACGCCGCGUGAGUGAAGAAGUAUUUCGGUAUGUAAAGCUCUAUCAGCAGGAAAGAAAAUGACGGUACCUGACGAAGAAGCACCGGCUAAAUACGUG
This 462-nucleotide ribosomal RNA is filed under the name uncultured bacterium. Its description in RNAcentral is "partial 16S ribosomal RNA". It matches the Rfam family "Bacterial small subunit ribosomal RNA", at positions 28 to 507 of the family's 1533-position model. The record is from RNAcentral.